Molecule: ribosomal RNA, 478 nt
Filed under: uncultured bacterium
Lineage: Bacteria
Description: partial 16S ribosomal RNA
Rfam family: Bacterial small subunit ribosomal RNA
Source: RNAcentral
GACGAACGCUGGCGGCGUGCUUAACACAUGCAAGUCGAACGGUAAGGCCCUUCGGGGUACACGAGUGGCGAACGGGUGAGUAACACGUGGGUGAUCUGCCCUGCACUUCGGGAUAAGCCCGGGAAACUGGGUCUAAUACCGGAUAGGACCACUGCCUGCAUGGGUGGUGGUGGAAAGCUUUUGCGGUGUGGGAUGGGCCCGCGGCCUAUCAGCUUGUUGGUGGGGUGAUGGCCUACCAAGGCGACGACGGGUAGCCGGCCUGGGAGGGUGACCGGCCACACUGGGACUGAGAUACGGCGCAGACUCCUACGGGAGGCAGCAGUGGGGAAUAUUGCACAAUGGGCGCAAGCCUGAUGCAGCGACGCCGCGUGAGGGAUGACGGCCUUCGGGUUGUAAACCUCUUUCAGCACCGACGAAGCGCAAGUGACGGUAGGUGCAGAAGAAGGACCGGCCAACUACGUGCCAGCCGCCGCAGUAA